Molecule: ribosomal RNA, 477 nt
Filed under: Escherichia coli
Lineage: Bacteria; Pseudomonadati; Pseudomonadota; Gammaproteobacteria; Enterobacterales; Enterobacteriaceae
Description: partial 23S ribosomal RNA
Rfam family: Bacterial large subunit ribosomal RNA
Source: RNAcentral
AUGCACAUACUGUGAGCUCGAUGAGUAGGGCGGGACACGUGGUAUCCUGUCUGAAUAUGGGGGGACCAUCCUCCAAGGCUAAAUACUCCUGACUGACCGAUAGUGAACCAGUACCGUGAGGGAAAGGCGAAAAGAACCCCGGCGAGGGGAGUGAAAAAGAACCUGAAACCGUGUACGUACAAGCAGUGGGAGCACGCUUAGGCGUGUGACUGCGUACCUUUUGUAUAAUGGGUCAGCGACUUAUAUUCUGUAGCAAGGUUAACCGAAUAGGGGAGCCGAAGGGAAACCGAGUCUUAACUGGGCGUUAAGUUGCAGGGUAUAGACCCGAAACCCGGUGAUCUAGCCAUGGGCAGGUUGAAGGUUGGGUAACACUAACUGGAGGACCGAACCGACUAAUGUUGAAAAAUUAGCGGAUGACUUGUGGCUGGGGGUGAAAGGCCAAUCAAACCGGGAGAUAGCUGGUUCUCCCCGAAAGCU